Long non-coding RNA from Poecilia latipinna (sailfin molly), 880 nucleotides. RefSeq lists it as uncharacterized. The record is from RefSeq and is a predicted model, not a curated record. NCBI's taxonomy places the organism in Eukaryota, Metazoa, Chordata, Actinopteri, Cyprinodontiformes, Poeciliidae. The transcript is spliced from 2 exons.
UAAACGUUUGCUAUCCUCGUGUUUGUACGUGUGUCAGAGUUGAAUGCAGUUGUGUACGUAUGUUUCACACUUGGACACAUGCUAGGAAAGUUACAUUAAAAUAAGCUUUGAAGAGAGUUAAGAAGAAGAAGAAAAAGCAUAAUGAAUGAAACACCUUCAUAGAAACACUGUGGUAUGCACAGGGAGAAAUACCAUGUGCCACCUAGUGGCAAAACAAGAAACAACCAACGCAUGAAACUGCUUUUCCUGUUGGGAAAGCAGUUUCAUUUUGAAAUUUUGAAACUCUAGCUAUUCCUUCUACAGACAUCUGCCCCUGUUAAAAUAUUCUCACAGAGAGGAACUUCAGUUCACUUCAAGCACAUCGAUACUGUCAAGCAGCAUGCAUAAAGCACAGUUUCAGAUUGCUCCGCAUAUCCACACACUGCAUGUUUCAUUCCAUGUUUCAUUUCGUCCACCAAAUGAUUUCUGUCUUCCCUCACCAGCCUGAUUUAUGGCAUGCUCUGGCCCAUUGUUUAUUGGAGCCUGUGGAGUUCUCUCGUGUGGUAACGUACCCAUCACUGACCCCUUUGUGUUUCACUUUAACCUUAAAUCUCCCUUUUGUCUCCAUUAACCCUAAAUGUUGUUUUCAGCAAUUCGUCGUUAUAACUUAAUACUGCUGACGUCAUGCCAGCUCCUAUAGGUGAAGGCAGACACUAAAAUAACAGAUACACAAGGCAGCUGAUUUGAUACAAUGUAAAUUAUAUGAAUACCAUAAAGUAGUCAGAACCACUUUCGGACAUCUGCUGCACAGUAUGCAUGUUAAAGUGAGGCAGAGGAGUAUUCACAAAGUUAGACGUAUUGUGUCUGUGUGUGACAAGUGUGUAUGUGGCUUUCUGAUUGA